This 421-nucleotide long non-coding RNA is filed under the name Homo sapiens (human). RNAcentral's name for it is "HSALNT0359259". The record is from RNAcentral. Lineage: Eukaryota; Metazoa; Chordata; Mammalia; Primates; Hominidae.
CUCGUGCUGUUCUCAUGAUAGUGAAUAAGUCUCAUAAGAUCUGAUGGUUUUACAAAGGGGAGUUCCCCUGCACAUGCUCUCUUGCCUGCUGCCAUGUCAGACGUGACUUUGCUCCUCAUUCAACUUCUGCCAUGAUUGUGAGGCCUCCCCAGCCAUGUGGGACUGAGAAAUUUGGAUACAGAGACAGAUGCACACAGAGGGAAGAUGAUGGGAAGGGACACGGGGAGAAGAUGGUCAUCCCCAUGCCAAGGAAGGAGGCCUGGAACAAAUUCCCCUUCACAGCACUCAGAAGAAACCAGCCCUGCUGACACUUCGAGUUCAGACUUUUAGCUUCCAGAACUGUGAGACUAUACGGUUUUGUUGUUUAAGACCCCCGGUUUGUAGUACUUUGUUACAGCAGUCCUAGCCAAUGAAUACAGGU